CACACACACACAGAACAAAAAAGGGACAUGUACGAGGUCAUUACAUUCUUUUACAUGUCCGGCAUUAAUCUGAGCUUCUGUCUCGUGGCAUCCUGCACCGUGAUGUUCUGCAGACAGCCUGCGUCCAUACUUACACACAGCAGACACAUCUCUCUUUCUGACACGAUCAAUCUUCUCACAACAUUUAGAGUUACAUUUAAAUCUUUCUGUGUCCGUCCCCCAGACUAGCAGCACUGGGGUCUCCCUGUCUGUUCAACAGGGUUGCCAGUGCUGCAGGUGGGCUGGGAGGACAGGUGGACUGUUCUC
Long non-coding RNA from Labrus mixtus (cuckoo wrasse), 306 nucleotides. RefSeq lists it as uncharacterized. The transcript is spliced from 3 exons. Lineage: Eukaryota; Metazoa; Chordata; Actinopteri; Labriformes; Labridae. The record is from RefSeq and is a predicted model, not a curated record.